UUUCAGUCCACAUUUAAACAUUCUUCCGCACUCUGCUCUUGCUCAUUUGCGAAGGAAGGGAGGCCUCGCAGCUUCACGCUCACGCAGUCAUCCACAGCGAUGUUGCGGAACAGAUAAGCCAUGGACUCUCCGUUGUGGAUGCGCCGGAUCGCCUCGGCCAGGAUCAUGCUCACGUCCACAGUUUUGAUUUUUGGACACUGCAGCUUCUGCACCUCGUGAGGAACGGUGUUGGUCACCACCACCUGGAGGGAGAACACAACAGCCUUGGUUUCAGCCUUUUGUCAUGCAGAUGGAGGCAUGACCGAGUCUGGGCCUCACGGGCAGCACGACAACUUCUCAUCUAUAUUCAUUUUGUAAAACUGGCAAAUAAAACCCAACCAUGGUCACAUUCUGA
Stegastes partitus (bicolor damselfish) is the source of this 394-nucleotide long non-coding RNA. RefSeq lists it as uncharacterized. NCBI's taxonomy places the organism in Eukaryota, Metazoa, Chordata, Actinopteri, Pomacentridae. The record is from RefSeq and is a predicted model, not a curated record. The transcript is spliced from 2 exons.